Molecule: ribosomal RNA, 386 nt
Filed under: Cryothecomonas sp.
Lineage: Eukaryota; Cercozoa; Thecofilosea; Cryomonadida; Protaspidae
Also listed under: 1 other name
Description: partial small subunit ribosomal RNA
Rfam family: Eukaryotic small subunit ribosomal RNA
Source: RNAcentral
AGCUCCAAGAGCGUAUAUUAAAGUUGUUGCAGUUAAAAAGCUCGUAGUUGGAUUUCUGGUACAACGCGCCUGGCCCGCUUUUAGUGAGUGCCGGUGCGCGUUUGCCAUCCUUCUAGAAAACGUUUCUACCUGGGCAACCGGGCCGGACUCGCGAUCUAGAUCUUUUACUUUGAAAAAAUUAGAGUGUUUAAAGCAGGCUUUUGCUGUGAAUACAUUAGCAUGGAAUAAUAAUCUAGGACUUCGGUUCUAUUUUGUUGGUUUCUAGUACUGAAGUAAUGAUUGAUAGGGAUAGUUGGGGGUGCUAGUAUUGGCCGGCCAGAGGUGAAAUUCUUGGAUUCGGUCAAGACUAACUUAUGCGAAAGCAUUCACCAAGGAUGUCUUCUUUA